This 490-nucleotide ribosomal RNA is filed under the name uncultured bacterium. RNAcentral describes it as "partial 16S ribosomal RNA". It matches the Rfam family "Bacterial small subunit ribosomal RNA", at positions 28 to 507 of the family's 1533-position model. The record is from RNAcentral.
GAUGAACGCUAGCUACAGGCUUAACACAUGCAAGUCGAGGGGCAGCAUGGUCUUAGCUUGCUAAGGCCGAUGGCGACCGGCGCACGGGUGAGUAACACGUAUCCAACCUGCCGUCUACUCUUGGACAGCCUUCUGAAAGGAAGAUUAAUACAAGAUGGCAUCAUGAGUCCGCAUGUUCACAUGAUUAAAGGUAUUCCGGUAGACGAUGGGGAUGCGUUCCAUUAGAUAGUAGGCGGGGUAACGGCCCACCUAGUCUUCGAUGGAUAGGGGUUCUGAGAGGAAGGUCCCCCACAUUGGAACUGAGACACGGUCCAAACUCCUACGGGAGGCAGCAGUGAGGAAUAUUGGUCAAUGGGCGCAGGCCUGAACCAGCCAAGUAGCGUGAAGGAUGACUGCCCUAUGGGUUGUAAACUUCUUUUAUAAAGGAAUAAAGUCGGGUAUGUAUACCCGUUUGCAUGUACUUGAUGAAUAAGAAUCGGCUAACUCCGUG